UUAGACCUUAUACCCAAAGAAACCCUAAACAUUAGGGCUAAACCUUAAGAAACCCUAAACUUUAAGAAUUAAAAAAAAACCCUAAAAAUCUUUUAAAACCCUAAAGUUUUAAAAACCGUAAACCCUAAAAACCUAUAAAAUCCGUAAUAUCUAAUAACCCCUUAAUCGUUAACAAACCAUAAAAAAUCCUAAACACCUUAAAAACCCUAAACCUAAAAAUUCCUCAAAAACCUAAUAAAACCCUAGAAAAUCUUAAGCCCAAAACCCUAAUUCCUAAAAAGGCUAAAAAAAAUCCAAACCCUAAGAAAUCCUAAACGCUAAAUAAUAUACCCUAAGAAACUCUAAAUCCUUAACUCUAAAUCAUUGGGCUAAACCUUAAACGCCAAACCAUAAUGGAAUCCUAAGAAAUCCUACACCUUAAAAUCCAUUUAAACACCUAAAAUUAUAAUACCCGAGGAAAAAAAAAUCCCUUUAAAACUAUAAGACCUAGAAAAAACCCUAAAUAUAUUAGGCUUACGUAAUACUAUAUCUUAAGAAAUCCAAAUUCUUAAAAAACCUAAGAAACCCUAAAAACAUAUGAAAACCUUAAUCAUAAAAAUCAUAAACCCAAAAUAAACCAUAAACUCUAAAAAACACUUAACCUGAAAUUCGAAUCCCUAAAACAUAAACGAAGAAACCCUAAGAAACUCAAAACCUUAAACCCUUAUAAACCCUAAUACCUUAAAACCUAAGAUCCUAAACCCUAAACCCUAAAAAAUCUAUAAGAAAUCCUAAACCCUAAAAAUCACUAACAAAAACUAAACCCUAAAAAACCUAAAAAAAAAAACUUUAAAACCCCUAAACCUAAAGAACCCUAAAUCCCAAAGUCUAAACCUUCAACCCUAAACACUUAAAAUCAUAAGCCCAAAACUCUAAACCCAAAAAAAGCACUAAGAAACCCCCAAACCCUAAACCCAAAAAAGCACUAAGAAACCCGAAACCCUAGAAAACAGUAAAUUUAUUUUUUAUAAACUCUAACCCUAGAAAACCUUUUAAAAAAUCUCAAACCUAACAAACCUAAACCCUAUUCUAAGAAAAACCCUAAACCUAAAACACUAAACCCUACACACUGAAUGACCCAAAAAAACCUAGGAGUCCUUAAAUGUUCAAAUCAAACCCUAAGAAACCUAAACCCUAAACCUUAGGGUUAUCACCCUACCCUAAGCCUUAUGAAACUCUAAGAAGCCCUAAACCCUAAGAAAUCCUAAAUCCUAAAAAAUAUAAAUAUUAAGAAACAACAAAAAAAACAUUAAAAAUUAAAAUCCUAAAAAAUAUAAAUAUUAAAAAACAACAAAAAAAAUAUUAAAAAUUAUAAACCUAAAAAAUCUUAAACUUAACAAACCUAAACCCUAAACCGUAGAAAAACCCUAAACCUAAAACACUAAACCCUAAACACCUACACCCUAAAUGACCCAAAAAAGACUUAGGAGACCUUCAAUGUUUAACUCAAACCCUAAGAAACUUAAACCCUAAACCUUAGGGAGAAACCCCCAACCCUAAGCCUUAUGUAACUCUAAGAAGCCCUAAACCCUAAUAAAUCCUAAGAAGAGGUAAACAAUAAAAACCUUUAAAACCCUAAAACUAAAAAUUCCAAAAACAAACCUUAAAAACCCUAAAAAAAUUACCUUAGUCUAAAACCCUAAGUCCUAAGCCUUUAGAACUCAUAUAUCGUAAAAACAAUAUUGAUCUUAAAAAAUCUUCAUCAAUCCUAAAUUGAAAACAACUCUUGACCUAAAAUUUUUGAGAAAAAACUUAAGCUCUAAACCCUAACCUAAAUUCUUAUUCAUCAUGUUCAGAUUAUAUUAUUCUUCAAUAUGCUCUGUUAACCUAUAUAUAUUUGUUCAACUUUGUCAUGUCAUGCAUGCUCUGAAUCUUUCAACUGUUGAUACAUACUCUACCUUACCUCUUCUCUUGAUGUAGGUUCAGGUCCUCAUCAUUCAGAUCACGCGGAGAUCGAUUCCCUAUCCGUAUUCAGCAAUAACAGUGGUGAAUCCUCAUUUUUCGAGGAUGAUUUACAUGUAUUUUAUUCAAUCUUUCAUUUUGGGUUCAGUUUUGCUAGAGUUUGCUGGGGGCUUGUCCCAACAUCUCUAGUUAGUUAGAGGCUUUUAUUCAUACAUUGUUUUUGUCACUCUCCGAGGUUACCCGCUUGACGUAACACGAGACCGAGGAUCACGAGUGACCACAAGCUAACCUUGAGUUGGCAUAUCAUAAACAUAUUAGAUCAACACCUUUAAAAGCCUAAAAUCUAAGAAAUCUAAAACCCCUAAGAAACCCUAAACCCUAAGAAACACUAAACCCUAAACCUUAGGGAAACCCCAAGACUUAUGAAACACCAACAAACCCUAAAGCCUAAGAAAUCCUAAAGCCUAAAAACACCUUUAAAAAUACUAAACCUAAAAACACCCUUAAAACCCGUAACCCCUAAAAACUCUAAAUUUAAAAUCCUAAGCCCUUAACCCAAAGAAACCCUAAGCCUUAAGAACCCCUAAAUCGUAAGAAAUCAUAACAAUCAUGAAAACCCCUUUUAAAAUCCUAAACCCUAAGAAACACUAAACCCUAAACCUUAGGGAAACCCCUAAACCUCAAGACUUGUGAAACACCAACAAACCCUAAAGCCUAAGAAAUCCUAAAGCCUAAAAACACCUUUAAAAAUACUAAACCUAAAAACACCCUUAAAACCCGUAACCCAUAAAAACCCUAUAUUUAAAAUCCUAAGUCCUUAACCCAAAGAAAUUCUAAGCCCUAAGAACCCCUAAACCGUAGGAAAUCAUAACAAUCAUGAAAACCCCUUUUAAAAUCUUAAACUUAAAAAAACUCUAAAUCUAAAAAAUUCAACAAAAACUUAAGCCCUAAACAUUAAAAACCCUUCAAUAAAAACUUAGACCUUAUACCCAAAGAAACCAAAAACCAUAGGGCUAAACCAUAAGAAACCCUAAACUUUAAGAAAUAAAAAACAAUCCUAAAAAACUUUUAAAACCCUAAACUUUUAAUACUGUAAACCCUAAAAACCCUAUAAAAUCUGUAAGAUUGAAGAACCCCUUAAAACCCCUAAAUCUAAAGAACCCUAAAUCCCAAACUCUAAACUUUGAACCCUAAACCCUUAAAAAUCAUAAGCCGAAAACCCUAACCCUAAGAAAACCACAAACCCUAAACCCAAAAAAGCACUAAGAAACCCAAAACCCUAGAAAACAAUAAAUUCAUUUUUAUAACCUCUAACCCUAGAAAACCUCUAAAAAAUCUUAAACCUAACAAACUUGAUCCCUAUUCUAGAAAAACCCUAAAACUAAACCCUACACCCUGAAUGACCCAAAAAUAACCUAGGAGACCUUAAAUGUUCAACUCAAACCCUAAGAAACCUAAUCCCUAAACCAUAGGGAUAAACCCUCAACCCUAAGCCUUAUGAAACAAUAAGCAGCCCUAAACCCUAAGAAAUCCUAAAUCCUAAGAAAAUAUAAACAUUAAAAAACAAUAGUUUUUUUUUUACAAACUCUAAACCUAAAAAAUAUUAAACCUAACAAACCUAAAACCCUAAACCAUAGAAACCCCUAAACCUAAAACAUAAAACCCUAAACCACCUAAACCCCUAGACCCUAAAUGACCCAAAAAAAAAACCUAGUAGACCUUAAAUGUUAAACUCACACCCUAAAAAGCUUAAACCCUAAACCUUAGGGAUAAGCCUGGACCUUAGCCUUAUGAAACUCUAAGAAGCCCUAAACCCUAAGAAAUCCUAAAUCCUAAAAAACAUAAACUAUAAAAAACAAAAAAAAAACAUUAAAAACUCUAAACCUAAAUAAUCAUAAACCUAACAAACCUAAACCCUAAACCGUAGGAAAACCCUAAACCUAAAACACUAAUCCCUAAACACCUACACCCUAAAUGACUCAAAAAAACCCUAGGAGACCUUAAAUGUUAAACUCAAACCCUAAGAAACUUAAACCCCAAACCUUAGGGAUAAACCCCCAACCCUAAGCCUUAUGAAACUCUAAGAAUCCCUAAACCCUAAGAAUUCCUACGAAGAGCUAAACAAUAAAAACCUUUAAAACCCUAAAAUUAAAAAUUCCAAAAACAAACCUUAAUAAUCCUAAAAAAAUUCCAUAAUCUAAAACCCUAAGACCUAAGCCCUUAGAACUCAUAUAUCGUAAAAUUAAUAUUGAUCCUGAAAAAUCUUUAUCAAUCCUAAAUUGAAAACAACUCUUGACCUAAAAUUUUUUAGAAAAACUUAAGCUCUAAACCCUAACCUAAAUACCCUUAAACAAAAACCUAAACUCUUAUUCAUCAUGUUCAGAUUAUAUUAUUCUUCAAUAUGCUCUGUUAGGUUAUGUAUAUUUGUUUAGCUUUGUCAUGUCAUGCAUGCUCAGAAUCUUUCAACUACAGAUACAUAAUCUACCCUACAUCUUCUCUUGAUGUAGGUUCACGUCCUCAACAUUAGAUCACGCGAAGAUCGGUUCCCGAUCCGUAUUCAGCAAUAUCAGUGGUGAGUCCUCGUUUUUCGAAGAUGAUUUACAUGUUUUUAUAUUCAGUCUUUCAUUUUUGUUUCAGUUUUGCGAGAGUUAGCUGGGGGCUUGUCCCAGCAUCUCUAGUUAGUUAGAGGCUUUUAUUCAUAGAUUGUUUGUCACUCCCGAGGUUACCGGGUUGACGUAACACGAGACCUAGGAUCACGAGUGACCCCAAACUAUCCUUGAGUUGGCAUAUCAUAAGCAUAUUAGAUCAACACCUUUAAAAGCCUAAUCUAAGAAAUCUAAAACCCCUAAGAAACACUAAAUCCUAAGAAACACUAAACCCUAAACCUUAGGGAAACCCCAAGACCUUUGUAACACCAACAUACCCUAAAGCCUAAGAAAUCCUAAAUCCUAAAAUCACCGUUAAAAGAACUAAACCUAAAAACACCCUUAAAACCUGUAACGCCUAAAAACACUAAAUUUAAAAUCCUAAGCCCUUAACCCAAAGAAACCCUGAGACUUAAGAACACCUAAAUCGUAAGAAAUCAUAACAAUCUUGAUAAUCCCUUUUAAAAUCCUAAAUCCUAAGAAACACUAAACACUAAACCUUUGGGAAACCCCUAAACCUCAAGACUUGUGAAACACCAACAAACCCUAAAGCAUAAGAAAUACUAAAGCCUAAAAAUGAAAUCCUAAAGCCUAAAAACCUCCUUAAAAAUACUAAGCCUAAAAACACCCUUAAAACCCGUAACACCUAAAAACCCUAAAUUUAAAAUCCUAAGCCCUUAACCCAAAGAAACCCUAAGCCUUAAGAACCCCUAAACCGUAGGAAAUCAUAACAAUCUUGAAAACCCCUUUUAAAUUCCUAAACCUAAAAAAAUUUUAAACCUAAAAAUUUUUACAAAAACUUAAGCCCUAAACCUUAAAAACCCUUAAAUAAAAACUUAGACCUUAUACCCAAACAAACCCUAAACUUUAGAGCUAAACCUUAAGAAACCCUAAACUUUAAGAAAUAAAAAAAAACCCUAAAAAACUUUUAAAACCCUAAACUUUUAAAAACCGUAAACCCUAAAAACCCUAUAAAAUCCGUAAGAUCUAAGAAGCCCUUAAUCGUUAACAAACCAUAAAAAUCCUAAACACCUUAAAACCCUAAACCU
RNAcentral lists this long non-coding RNA (5635 nucleotides) under Solanum tuberosum (potato). RNAcentral's name for it is "long non-coding RNA (STUB_LNC000107)". Lineage: Eukaryota; Viridiplantae; Streptophyta; Magnoliopsida; Solanales; Solanaceae. The record is from RNAcentral.